Molecule: long non-coding RNA, 643 nt
Filed under: Brassica rapa (field mustard)
Lineage: Eukaryota; Viridiplantae; Streptophyta; Magnoliopsida; Brassicales; Brassicaceae
Description: long non-coding RNA (BRAP_LNC000232)
Source: RNAcentral
AGAGAGCAGCUAAUUGUGAAGCUUCAAAAUAUUCUUCAGCCACGUCUAUUUAGCUUCUGAUACAGCCAGCAAUCUUCUACUGCUUCCUCUACAGUCUGCAGAAAACCCAAACCCUAGUUUCACUAGAAGUUGUGAGAUGAAAAAGCUGGAACCGAUAGGGGUUUUGGGAUCAGAGUUCGAAAUUCGAUAAUGAAGCGACCAGGUUUGUGUUUUAGAUUUAUUUUCUUAUCACUAUUGAGCUGAUCACACUUUAGUGAAAUGCCCACCAUUGACUAUAUUGAAGCUCUGUGAUAAUUGCUUGGCCUUUGUGGAACCAUGCUUUCUAAUUGAAUCUUUUGUCAAAUAAUUGUGGUAUGUUUUAGCUGUAUGUCAAACAAUAUGAAACAGGUGGUGCUGGUUCUUUUAGUAAAGACGGAUAGACACUUGUGUUCUGUAUAAACUGUAUAAUGUUACAAUCUUAGUGAAUAUUCUUUCACCCACAACCCAAUCUUCCUCACAUUUCUUGUUCCUCCAUUUUCUUUGAAUCCCUAUGUGUAGGCUGGAGCAGAAGCAGGAGCAAGGGAAGGUCCUGCAGCAAACGGAGACGCCUGAGGAGCCACGGCUGAGCAUUCAUGGUCAUAGCAGUCUACAGGGUGGUCAAGUA